Ictidomys tridecemlineatus (thirteen-lined ground squirrel) is the source of this 1502-nucleotide non-coding RNA. The record is from RefSeq and is a predicted model, not a curated record. Lineage: Eukaryota; Metazoa; Chordata; Mammalia; Rodentia; Sciuridae.
GGCCCCAAUUAACCACUUCCUCCAGCCAUACCCCACCUGCCUCCAGUUACUACACAGUUAAUUCCAUCAGGGAUUAAUUCAUUGAUUAGGUUUAGACUGUCACAAUCCUAUCAUUUGUCCUCUGAACCUUCCAUAUUUUCUCACACGUGAGCUUUUGGGGGACAUCUCACAUUCAAACCACAACAGACAAAAUCAAGUGCUAAGUACGAUGAGAGUGGCAUCGUUGGAAGACUGUAUGGAUGCUCGGCCCAUGCUUGCUCAGCCUCACCUUUAAGUCCAUCCUUAGCCAGACAAUUCUACCUCACACCAACGGCCCCAACCUCGAAUGCAUCUUUCCACAUGGCUGCCAAUCAUGCCAAUGCCAGGGGAGCUCUGUUGGCCCAUGCACAGGAGCAAUCUGAGAGUUCAGGGGGACUUCAUUCUUCCAGAAGCAACACUCAGCCAGAAGAUAAUGUGAGACAAUUGGCAAAAACAGGGAGAUGAUGAUGGUAAGUCUUUUAUACACUCCUCAAAAGAUCGUAGGUGGGUCCUAGGUGCCUAAAGCAGUGACUUUAGUCAUAUACCCUAUACUGACCUUUCUUCUUCUCUCACUCUGUCUGUCCUUCAAUUUUGAUUCUGGGUUAUUCCUUAGCAAGUUUUCAGCACAGAAGUCCUCACAGGCCCUGUUUUUUGUAUGCAUCCAAGGUGAAAAAGAGGCAAACAUAAUUAUCUAGGUAAGAAAUGAUAGAGAAUUAGACAAGGGCAGUCGCCAUAGCAAUGGCAGAUUGGAAAGUUAUUUUAGAAAGUUAAAUAGUCUGCUGCAACCCAAUUCUCCAACAUCAUUCUCUUUCUUUUUUUCAUUUUAUAUGCAGUGCAACCCGGUGCAGGUUUACAGGGCAUGGUGAAACCGGAAUGGAGGAGGUACAGUCAUGUGCUAUAAUCCUGUUUUACAGCUGUGCAAAUGGCCACCAUAUAUGAAUGUAGAACUCAACAGCUAAGCUCACAGGAGAUGAAGAAGAGGAAUCAUGAGGGAACACAUGCUCCAGCAUCCAUUGUUACGGGAGCCAGCAACACAUCACACCAGGCAAUUUCUCUGGCCACAUCACUCCAAUUCCCGGAAGAGGAAAGGUGAUUGCAAGAAGCUGCAGUAUCAGAUCACCAACUCACAGGAAUUGUCUGAUCUGCUUGAUUUACCUGAAGAGGCUCUGCUAUUUGGUUACGUGGUGGAUCCUGUCCAUGAUGAGUUAAAUCUGCCAAUGAAAAGUUUUGACAAAUACAUAGUAAAGUGCAUGAUAAAAAAUGGCUACUAUUUAAAAAUAUCAUGUUUGUAAAAGUGUGUUGAAAUUAAUAUUUCCUGUUUCCCAAUCUUUUCCAGAAUAUAUCUGGGUAAACAAGAAGUCUAAGUAAAAGAGGAACAUGAAUAAUAAUCCUAAUCAGCCUUCAUGAAAACCUCUCUGGCAUUGUUCCCCCAAACUGAGAAAGCAACUCUAUCACCAGGAAAUAAAUUUUCUUUGGAAAUUCAA